GACGAAAUGUAAGAGCUCUGUGGAUCGCGAUAGGGCUGCUAUCCGAGCUUCGCUCGCGAAUAAAUUAUGGUCCCUCUACUCUACGGUUGUCGUCGAGGAUACAAAGAGCCGAGAACGAUGCCGUUUGCCGUAGUCUGCGUCGGACAUGAAUAUUUAAGACAAAAGAAGAACAUGUUCAUCGUACUCUCCAACUAAGUGGACCCAAGGAGUUGUCAUUAAUCUUUCUAGGAUUAAUGGUAGUGGAAGUGCAAGGAGCUAUUCCUCUGGUCAUCACAAUCAAGCGACGAGACUCUCCAGCUUCGCGUCUCGGCGGGUAACAGUCUUCUUUUCACUGGCGAAAAACACUGGCGGCUUCUGUACUCGAUGGUAACGACAUAACAAGCCCGUAAACACAGCAGGGCCAUAAACAGAAGUCAGAUUUAAGGUUCAGCGAUGAACAAAGAAGCUGGAGUAGGUAAAAAAAUCUGACGUUCUGUGGAGACUCGAGGAAACAUCCCCUGUGACAUGGUCGUGUACAGUAGUAAAAGUGCUAUAUACUGGGUGG
Nomia melanderi (Alkali bee) is the source of this 544-nucleotide long non-coding RNA. RefSeq lists it as uncharacterized. The record is from RefSeq and is a predicted model, not a curated record. NCBI's taxonomy places the organism in Eukaryota, Metazoa, Arthropoda, Insecta, Hymenoptera, Halictidae.